RNAcentral lists this ribosomal RNA (663 nucleotides) under uncultured Desulfocapsa sp. RNAcentral describes it as "bacterial SSU rRNA". It matches the Rfam family "Bacterial small subunit ribosomal RNA", at positions 35 to 677 of the family's 1533-position model. Lineage: Bacteria; Pseudomonadati; Thermodesulfobacteriota; Desulfobulbia; Desulfobulbales; Desulfocapsaceae. The record is from RNAcentral.
GCUGGCGGCGUGCUUAACACAUGCAAGUCGAACGCGAAGGGGCUUCGGCCCUAAGUAGAGUGGCGCACGGGUGAGUAACGCGUAAGUGAUCUACCCCUGUAUCUGGAAUAACUAUGGGAAACUGUAGCUAAUACCGGAUACGUUCAUGUGAUUGCGAUUAUGUGAAGAAAGAUGGCCUCUGACAUAAGCUAUCGUACAGGGAGGAGCUUGCGUACCAUUAGCUAGUUGGCAGGGUAAAGGCCUACCAAGGCGACGAUGGUUAGCGGGUCUGAGAGGAUGAUCCGCCACACUGGAACUGAAACACGGACCAGACUCCUACGGGAGGCAGCAGUGAGGAAUAUUGCGCAAUGGGGGCAACCCUGACGCAGCGACGCCGCGUGGAUGAUGAAGGCCUUCGGGUCGUAAAAUCCUGUCGGAUGGAAAGAAGUGUGAUGUGGUUAAUACCCAUGUCAUUUGACGGUACCAUCAGAGGAAGCACCGGCUAACUCCGUGCCAGCAGCCGCGGUAAUACGGAGGGUGCAAGCGUUGUUCGGAAUUACUGGGCGUAAAGCGCGCGUAGGCGGUUUGUUAAGUCAGAUGUGAAAGCCCCGGGCUUAACCUGGGACGUGCAUUUGAAACUGUCAGACUUGAGUAUUGGAGGGGGGUGGUGGAAUUUCCGGUGUA